GCGGAAGGAUCAUUAUCGUAACAAAAAGCGUAAGAGGGUGCUCCAAGGGCUGUCGCCGACUCGAAAGGGUCGUUGCACGCCUGAAGGGCGUCCUCUUGCGUGAAAUCCACCUCACCCCUUUUGUGCACCACCGCGUGGGCUUUCCUCCUCGAGGGGGCUCGCGUUUUUCACACAAACACCCUUUGUAAACGUCUCGUAGAAUGUCCUCAUUUUGUUUGCGUUGACGCGCGAUCAAUACAACUUUCAACAACGGAUCUCUUGGCUCUCGCAUCGAUGAAGAACGCAGCGAAAUGCGAUACGUAAUGUGAAUUGCAGAAUUCAGUGAAUCAUCGAAUCUUUGAACGCACCUUGCGCCCCUUGGUAUUCCGAGGGGCACACCCGUUUGAGUGUCGUGAAAAUCUCAACCUCCUAGGUUUUCUUAGGAGGCUUGGACUUUGGAGGGCUUUGCUGGACUUUAAAAGGCCAGCUCCUCUCAAACGAAUUAGCGAGGUCCCCUUUGCCGAUCCUCGACGUGUGAUAAGACGCUUCCACGUCUCGGUCUUUGGCUCUGUCGCCUCUUGGGACCUGCUUCCAAUCGUCUCUUCUACGAGACAACGUUCGAGCUCGCCUCGACCACGUACCCUUGACCUCAAA
This 633-nucleotide ribosomal RNA is filed under the name Lactarius subplinthogalus. RNAcentral describes it as "eukaryotic LSU rRNA". The stretch from base 239 to 392 matches the Rfam family "5.8S ribosomal RNA". The record is from RNAcentral. Lineage: Eukaryota; Fungi; Basidiomycota; Agaricomycetes; Russulales; Russulaceae.